AAUGGGCUGGCCUAAGUGGCCAGGCCGUUGGGUUUAAGCAUGUGCUGCACGUGUGGGCCGAGAAGAAGAAGACUCCAGUUAGGAGUCUUCCUCCUCCCCCAAUUCUGGUGGACUCCCAGAGUCCUAGGGAGAGCCAAAGAUGGGCUAAAAUCCUAGGAUCUCGUCUACAAAGGAGCAUCUACCUCCUCCUAUGGACUCCACCAUUGAAAUCACACACACAAGCACUGCUGAUUUUCGAACCAUUACCAAGCUAUUCCUCGGAAUUCCAUCGGAAAGGAUGGUCCAAUCAUCCACAAAGCUUCGUCGGACUAAAGUAAUGGGUCAAGCCUCUUCUUCCUCUAGGUUUUCCGGCUCCAUAGCCGUUGCCGCCGUUUGAUUUGGGUCGGCGAGCUGCCAGAAUAACAUGAAUAGGGCAUUUUCUAUUUUCUUCUUCUUUCUUGGUUUUUGCUGACCACCGCCUACAAUGACUCAUUGCUCAAGGCCGUCGCCGUUGCCAUCACUGGAGGCUGCUAUAAGCCGCCGUCCAUCAGCUCUUCCAUGACUCGGUUUGAGGAGAGAGAAAGAGAGAGCCUCCCCUAUUUUGAGAAGAGGAUGAAGGCUUUCUCUCUCCUCUCUUUACUCUUCUCUCUCUUCUCUCUCUAGUUGGGCCAAGGAUUUUGGGGAAGAGAGAUUCAGAGGAUGGGAUGAUAGACCCCUGGCUCUCUCUCUCUCCCCUUUCCCUUUCCUCUCUCUUUUUUUGUUUUCUUUUCCUCUCUUCUCUCUCUUUGCUUGGAUCUAUGGACCUUAGAGGAGGAUCGCACCCUCUUUAAUGGAUGGAAAGAGAGUCUUGAACCUCGCUCAUGGUCAUGCAGUGCAUAAGCCUUACCUAGAGAGUCUUGAACUCCACUUGUAACCAUGCAGCGCAUAAGCAUUACCCUGACCAUUGCCGAGCACCGUUAGAAUCUAUAAUCAUUAGUCCCUAAUGUAUUAUCUAUACUAUAGUCUGAUUCUUAUUUCAUAAGUUAAUUAGUUUGAUUGGUUAGAGCAGACCGAUCCGGAUCAUCGGAUGUUGUUAGCUAAUCGACCAUGUCAUUCCUUCACGGUGACUUUUAACAUAUUAUUUUAUAAAUAUUUUUAUAAAUAUAAAUUUUAAAAUAAUGUCAAAAGUGUGUUCAAAUGA
This 1159-nucleotide long non-coding RNA is filed under the name Phoenix dactylifera (date palm). RNAcentral describes it as "long non-coding RNA (PDAC_LNC005799)". The record is from RNAcentral. Lineage: Eukaryota; Viridiplantae; Streptophyta; Magnoliopsida; Arecales; Arecaceae.